RNAcentral lists this ribosomal RNA (582 nucleotides) under uncultured bacterium. RNAcentral's name for it is "bacterial SSU rRNA". It matches the Rfam family "Bacterial small subunit ribosomal RNA", at positions 102 to 694 of the family's 1533-position model. The record is from RNAcentral.
ACGGCGUAGGAAUUCAUAGGAACGUACCCUCAGGACGGGGAUAGCUACGGGAAACUGUAGGUAAUACCCGAUGAUCUCCGCGGAGCAAAGGUGUGAUUCCGCCUGAGGAGCGGCUUAUGCGAUAUUAGCUAGUUGGUGGGGUAAUGGCCUACCAAGGCGAAGAUGUCUAGGGGGUGUGAGAGCAUGGCCCCCACGACCGGAACUGAGAUACUGUCCGGACACCUACGGGUGGCUGCAGUCGAGAAUCUUCCGCAAUGGACGAAAGUCUGACGGAGCGACGCCGCGUGCGGGAUGAAGGCCCUUGGGUUGUAAACCGCUUUCGGAGGGGGUGAAAUCCUCGAGGGUUCUCCCUCGAGGUUGACAGAGCCUCAAAAGAAGCACGGGCUAAGUACGUGCCAGCAGCCGCGGUAACACGUACUGUGCGAACGUUAUUCGGAAUCACUGGGCUUAAAGGGUGCGUAGGCGGCGAUUCAAGUCAGAUGUGAAAUGCCUGAGCUCAACUGAGGCAUUGCGUUUGAAACUGAAUUGCUAGAGUAUUUCAGGGGUGUGCGGAACUGCCAGUGGAGCGGUGAAAUGUGUUGA